UCAUGGCUCUAUCGAAGCUGGGUAUGUCUUCUGGUGGACAUACUUGGUCAAAGUGAGGCCAAUAUAAAAUUUCUACAAUGGUCACUGCUGAAUAUUUUCAUUAUUUUUGCAGUAUUACCCAAGUAGAAUACAUUU
Molecule: small nucleolar RNA, 135 nt
Organism: Leptinotarsa decemlineata (Colorado potato beetle)
Lineage: Eukaryota; Metazoa; Arthropoda; Insecta; Coleoptera; Chrysomelidae
Source: RefSeq, a predicted model, not a curated record